CAGAAAAUAGUUUAAUUAAAAUUUUAGUUUUGGGAACUGAAGAUGGGAGUUUGCUUUCUUUUCUGA
This 66-nucleotide transfer RNA is filed under the name Atya gabonensis. Its description in RNAcentral is "tRNA-Pro". It matches the Rfam family "tRNA". From Rfam's summary of the family: Transfer RNA (tRNA) molecules are approximately 80 nucleotides in length. Their secondary structure includes four short double-helical elements and three loops (D, anti-codon, and T loops). Further hydrogen bonds mediate the characteristic L-shaped molecular structure. tRNAs have two regions of fundamental functional importance: the anti-codon, which is responsible for specific mRNA codon recognition, and the 3' end, to which the tRNAs corresponding amino acid is attached (by aminoacyl-tRNA synthetases). tRNAs cope with the degeneracy of the genetic code in two manners: having more than one tRNA (with a specific anti-codon) for a particular amino acid; and 'wobble' base-pairing, i.e. permitting non-standard base-pairing at the 3rd anti-codon position. Lineage: Eukaryota; Metazoa; Arthropoda; Malacostraca; Decapoda; Atyidae. The record is from RNAcentral.